UUCAAAGACGAGCUCUGGAAU
Molecule: microRNA, 21 nt
Filed under: Marchantia polymorpha subsp. ruderalis
Lineage: Eukaryota; Viridiplantae; Streptophyta; Marchantiopsida; Marchantiales; Marchantiaceae
Source: RNAcentral